AUACUAUAUUAGCCGAAGUAAAAAAUACGCGGAGGAACCAAGCAUCUGGGGUGAAUCACUAAUUGUGUAGGUUAAACCUUUCCCGAACCCGUCAGCUAACUCCGCAGGCAAAAGGAGAGAAAAA
Molecule: small RNA, 124 nt
Filed under: Clostridium estertheticum
Lineage: Bacteria; Bacillati; Bacillota; Clostridia; Eubacteriales; Clostridiaceae
Description: c-di-AMP sequence
Rfam family: c-di-AMP riboswitch aptamer (ydaO/yuaA leader)
About the family: This family represents a conserved RNA structure found upstream of the ydaO and yuaA genes in Bacillus subtilis and related genes in other bacteria.
Source: RNAcentral